RNAcentral lists this long non-coding RNA (304 nucleotides) under Nicotiana benthamiana. RNAcentral's name for it is "long non-coding RNA (NBEN_LNC039394)". The record is from RNAcentral. Lineage: Eukaryota; Viridiplantae; Streptophyta; Magnoliopsida; Solanales; Solanaceae.
AUUAUAUGCCUAAAAGCUAAAGAAAAAUAAAAAUAGGUUAUGUAUCUUUAUCUGAAUUAUUGAAAAAUAAAAAAUAGACAUUUAAUACAUUCCCGCUCGUAAUAUUGAAUUAAAUGUCUUUUGUUAGCAUUAGUAUUGAUUGCUAUCAUUAUUUAAUUUACUAAUAUUAAUGGCUAUAAAACUUAUUGGAGCAUUCAAAAGUUCUAAAUCAAACCUUGAAAUAAUACCUUAAAAGAUAAAAUUAUGAAAUUUUUUAAGAAAUAUUUAUAAAUUACAUUAAAAUAAGUAUAUUUGUAUAUUAAAU